RNAcentral lists this ribosomal RNA (406 nucleotides) under uncultured bacterium. RNAcentral's name for it is "partial 16S ribosomal RNA". It matches the Rfam family "Bacterial small subunit ribosomal RNA", at positions 30 to 526 of the family's 1533-position model. The record is from RNAcentral.
AUUGAACGCUGGCUGCAGGCCUAACACAUGCAAGUCGACCGAGUGGCGGACGGGUAAGGAAUGUCUGAGAAACUGCCUGAUAGAGGGGGAUAACUACUGGAAACGGUAGCUAAUACCGCAUACCAUCAGAUGUGCCCAGAUGGGAUUAGCUAGUAGGUGGGGUAAUGGCUCACCUAGGCGACGAUCCAGAGCUGGUGUGAUGGGAUGCCCAGACACACUUGAACUGAGACACGGUCCAGACUCCUACGGGAGGCAGCAGUGGGGAAUAUUGGACAAUGGGGGAAACCCUGAUCCAUACCUCCCGCGUGUAUGAUGAAGGCCUUCGGGUUGUAAAGUACUUUUGGCAGAGAAGCGGUAUCUGCAGAAUAAGCACCGGCUAACUCCGUGCCAGCAGCCGCGGUAAUAC